RNAcentral lists this ribosomal RNA (471 nucleotides) under uncultured soil bacterium. Its description in RNAcentral is "bacterial SSU rRNA". It matches the Rfam family "Bacterial small subunit ribosomal RNA", at positions 26 to 530 of the family's 1533-position model. The record is from RNAcentral.
AGAGCGAACGCUGGCGGCAGGCCUAACACAUGCAAGUCGAACGGACCCUUCGGGGUUAGUGGCGGACGGGUGAGUAACACGUGGGAACGUGCCUUUUGGUUCGGAAUAGCUCCUGGAAACGGGUGGUAAUGCCGAAUGUGCCCUUCGGGGGGAAAGAUUUAUCGCCAUUAGAGCGGCCCGCGUCUGAUUAGCUAGUUGGUGAGGUAAUGGCUCACCAAGGCGACGAUCAGUAGCUGGUCUGAGAGGAUGACCAGCCACAUUGGGACUGAGACACGGCCCAAACUCCUACGGGAGCAGCAGUGGGGAAUCGUUGCGCAAGUGGGCGAAAGCCUGACGCAGCCAUGCCGCGUAGAAUGAUGAAGGUCUUAGGAUUUAGUAAAAUUCUUUACGACCGGGGACGUAAUAAGUAGGAACCGGUACCCGGAAGAAAGAACGCCCCCGGAUAAACCGUUCGUACGCCAGCCAGCCCGA